UACGAAGGGGGCUAGCGUUGCUCGGAAUUACUGGGCGUAAAGGGCGCGUAGGCGGAUAGUUUAGUCAGAGGUGAAAGCCCAGGGCUCAACCUUGGAAUUGCCUUUGAUACUGGCUAUCUUGAGUUCGGAAGAGGUAAGUGGAAUGCCGAGUGUAGAGGUGAAAUUCGUAGAUAUUCGGCGGAACACCAGUGGCGAAGGCGACUUACUGGUCCGAUACUGACGCUGAGGCGCGAAAGCGUGGGGAGCAAACAGG
RNAcentral lists this ribosomal RNA (253 nucleotides) under uncultured bacterium. Its description in RNAcentral is "partial 16S ribosomal RNA". It matches the Rfam family "Bacterial small subunit ribosomal RNA", at positions 524 to 776 of the family's 1533-position model. The record is from RNAcentral.